CCUACGGGCGGCAGCAGUAGGGAAUGUUGCGCAAUGGGCGAAAGCCUGACGCAGCAACGCCGCGUGAACGAGACGGCCUUCGGGGUGUAAAGAUCUGUCAGUGGGGACGAAACUUGACGGUACCCACAGAGGAAGCACCGGCUAACUCCGUGCCAGCAGCCGCGGUAAAACGGGGGGUGCAAGCGUUGUCCGGAAUCAUUGGGCGUAAAGAGUUCGUAGGCGGCACGUAAAGUCUGGUGUUAAAGGCAGAGGCUCAACUUCUGUACGGCACUGGAUACUUGCGAGCUAGAGUGCGGUAGAGGUAAAGGGAAUUCCUGGUGUAGCGGUGAAAUGCUUAGAUAUCAGGAGGAACAUCGGUGGCGUAGGCGCUUUACUGGGCCGUAAUUGACGCUGAGGAACGAAAGCCAGGGUAGCAAAUGGGAUUAGAUACCCCUGUAGUC
This 440-nucleotide ribosomal RNA is filed under the name uncultured bacterium. RNAcentral's name for it is "partial 16S ribosomal RNA". It matches the Rfam family "Bacterial small subunit ribosomal RNA", at positions 338 to 795 of the family's 1533-position model. The record is from RNAcentral.